CGGUGACAGGUGCUGCAUGGCUGUCGUCAGCUCGUGUCGUGAGAUGUUGGGUUAAGUCCCGCAACGAGCGCAACCCUCGUCCUUAGUUGCCAGCAUUAAGUUGGGCGACUCUAAGGAAACUGCCGGUGAUAAGCCGGAGGAAGGUGGGGAUGACGUCAAGUCCUCAUGGCCCUUACAAGCUGGGCUACACACGUGCUACAAUGGCGAUGACAGUGAGCAGCUAGACCGCGAGGUCGUGCUAAUCUCUAAAAGUCGUCUCAGUUCGGAUUGUUCUCUGCAACUCGAGAGCAUGAAGGCGGAAUCGCUAGUAAUCGCGGAUCAGCAUGCCGCGGUGAAUACGUUCCCAGGCCUUGUACACACCGCCCGUCACACCAUGGGAGUUGGUUUCACCCGAAGGCGCUACGCUAACCCGCAAGGGAGGUAGGCGACCACGGUGGGAUCAGCGACUGGGGUGAAGUCGUAACAAGGUAGCCGUAGGGGAACCUGCGGCU
RNAcentral lists this ribosomal RNA (491 nucleotides) under uncultured Erythrobacter sp. Its description in RNAcentral is "bacterial SSU rRNA". It matches the Rfam family "Bacterial small subunit ribosomal RNA", at positions 1029 to 1519 of the family's 1533-position model. Lineage: Bacteria; Pseudomonadati; Pseudomonadota; Alphaproteobacteria; Sphingomonadales; Erythrobacteraceae. The record is from RNAcentral.